GCUGGGUGUGGUGGCACACACCUGUAAUCCCAGGUACUCGGGAGGAUGAGGCAGGAGAAUUGCUUGAAACCAGGAGGCGGAGGUUGCAGUGAGCUGAGAUUGCACCACUGCACUCUAGCCUGGGCAACGGAGCAAGACUCUGUCUCAAAAAANNNNNNNNNNUUUUUUGAGACAGAGUCUUGCUCCGUUGCCCAGGCUAGAGUGCAGUGGUGCAAUCUCAGCUCACUGCAACCUCCGCCUCCUGGUUUCAAGCAAUUCUCCUGCCUCAU
Non-coding RNA from Chlorocebus sabaeus (green monkey), 269 nucleotides. It matches the Rfam family "Metazoan signal recognition particle RNA". From Rfam's summary of the family: The signal recognition particle (SRP) is a universally conserved ribonucleoprotein. Lineage: Eukaryota; Metazoa; Chordata; Mammalia; Primates; Cercopithecidae. The record is from Rfam.